AGAUUGAACGCUGGCGGCAUGCUUUACACAUGCAAGUCGAACGGCAGCACGGGGGCAACCCUGGUGGCGAGUGGCGAACGGGUGAGUAAUGCAUCGGAACGUGCCUUGUGAUGGGGGAUAACUUACCGAAAGGUAGGCUAAUACCGCAUAAGCCCUGAGGGGAAGCGGGGAUCGCGAAGACCUCGCGUCACUGGAGCGGCCGAUGUCCGAUUAGCUAGUUGGUGGGUAAAGGCCUACCAAGGCGACGAUCGGUAGCUGGUCUGAGAGGAUGAUCAGCCACACUGGGACUGAGACACGGCCCAGACUCCGUACGGGAGCAGCAGUGGGGAAUUUUGGACAAUGGGGGCAACCCUGAUCCAGCCAUGCCGCGUGAGUGAAGAGGCCUUCGGUUGUAAAGUCUCUUCGGAGGGACGAAAAGCCGU
Molecule: ribosomal RNA, 422 nt
Filed under: uncultured soil bacterium
Lineage: Bacteria
Description: bacterial SSU rRNA
Rfam family: Bacterial small subunit ribosomal RNA
Source: RNAcentral